UACGUAGGGUGCGAGCGUUAAUCGGAAUUACUGGGCGUAAAGCGUGCGCAGGCGGUUCGCCAAGUCAGGUGUGAAAUCCCCGGGCUCAACCUGGGAACUGCGUUUGAAACUACAAGACUAGAAUAUGUCAGAGGGGGGUAGAAUUCCACGUGUAGCAGUGAAAUGCGUAGAGAUGUGGAGGAAUACCAAUGGCGAAGGCAGCCCCCUGGGAUAAUAUUGACGCUCAUGCACGAAAGCGUGGGGAGCAAACAGG
Molecule: ribosomal RNA, 253 nt
Filed under: uncultured bacterium
Lineage: Bacteria
Description: partial 16S ribosomal RNA
Rfam family: Bacterial small subunit ribosomal RNA
Source: RNAcentral